GAACGCUGGCGGCGUGCCUAAUACAUGCAAGUCGAGCGAACAGAUAAGGAGCUUGCUCCUUUGACGUUAGCGGCGGACGGGUGAGUAACACGUGGAUAACCUACCUAUAAGACUGGGAUAACUUCGGGAAACCGGAGCUAAUACCGGAUAAGAUUUUGAACCGCAUGGUUCAAUAGUGAAAGACGGCCUUGCUGUCACUUAUAGAUGGAUCCGCGCCGUAUUAGCUAGUUGGUAAGGUAACGGCUUACCAAGGCAACGAUACGUAGCCGACCUGAGAGGGUGAUCGGCCACACUGGAACUGAGACACGGUCCAGACUCCUACGGGAGGCAGCAGUAGGGAAUCUUCCGCAAUGGGCGAAAGCCUGACGGAGCAACGCCGCGUGAGUGAUGAAGGUCUUCGGAUCGUAAAACUCUGUUAUCAGGGAAGAACAAACGUGUAAGUAACUGUGCACGUCUUGACGGUACCUGAUCAGAAAGCCACGGCUAACUACGUGCCAGCAGCCGCGGUAAUACGUAGGUGGCAAGCGUUAUCCGGAAUUAUUGGGCGUAAAGCGCGCGUAGGCGGUUUUUUAAGUCUGAUGUGAAAGCCCACGGCUCAACCGUGGAGGGUCAUUGGAAACUGGAAAACUUGAGUGCAGAAGAGGAAAGUGGAAUUCCAUGUGUAGCGGUGAAAUGCGCAGAGAUAUGGAGGAACACCAGUGGCGAAGGCGACUUUCUGGUCUGUAACUGACGCUGAUGUGCGAAAGCGUGGGGAUCAAACAGGAUUAGAUACCCUGGUAGUCCACGCCGUAAACGAUGAGUGCUAAGUGUUAGGGGGUUUCCGCCCCUUAGUGCUGCAGCUAACGCAUUAAGCACUCCGC
This 860-nucleotide ribosomal RNA is filed under the name Staphylococcus pasteuri. RNAcentral describes it as "bacterial SSU rRNA". It matches the Rfam family "Bacterial small subunit ribosomal RNA", at positions 31 to 872 of the family's 1533-position model. Lineage: Bacteria; Bacillati; Bacillota; Bacilli; Caryophanales; Staphylococcaceae. The record is from RNAcentral.